CUGGAAUGUGGAGGGGUGGUAACAGUCCUCACUGCAGAGCCUGGAUGUUUUGUGAUGUCUGACUAAUGCUGCUAGGAGAGGACAUAGGAAAGAAAAGAGUUAUCCAACUUACAGGAAGCAAAGAAGAUAUGAUUGCAAAGGGCUGGCACUGCUUAUGGUUUAAAGACAGACACAAUUUAGAUACCAGUGAGAUCCCAUUGCAGAGUGUAAUGAAACAAAGCAACACUCCUAUCACCAGAGUGCUACAGGUUUCUGAGGGGUGUGCAGAAGAAAUGCAGUACUGAAAUGAGUGAAGGAAGAAUAUGCAGCGUGUAAACAGAGCAAAGCAAUGCAGAGAUUUAGGAACUUGCUGUCUUUUUUUGUAGCCUUAUUGUUUUGCAGUUGAGGCUGAAGAAAAUGAUAUUUUUAUAAGAAUAAUUCUAAUCCAAGAAAGCUAAAGAAUAGUAAAGAAAAAUACCAAAAGCAGAAAUGGCAUAAGUCCUGAGGUUAUGUUUAACCUUUUUGGAGACUUACUCAUCUUCUACAUGACUGUACAGCCAAGUCCUAAAACAUGAACAGUGACAAUGAAUAUUUUGUGCAUUGUUCUCUGAUCCUGUCAAUUAGAAUUUCGCACAUUCCAUGGAUCUGUUGUCUCGAUUCACUCCUGGUUUUGAACUUUUUCAGUUCACGUGCUUCCUUACUUUACAAGUUCUGAACUCCUGAUGAAUGGCUUGUAACCUUUCAAGCAUCCCUUUGAAGUACCCACUGAAGCAGAGGUGAGAAACCUUACGACUGUUGUUCUACAGUGUGUUUUCAAGUCUUAUUUAGGUAAAGAAUAGUGUCUAUCUGACAUACUUUAGUGAUAUUAAUACUUUAAAACUGGUUUACAACCAGCAGGAAUUCACAUUACCUGAGCCAUCACCAGGACUGGAACAUUCAUUAGUGUUUCCACAAGACAAUAUACAAAAUCACUACAGUGAUAAAAGAAGGUAAAAGUAAAUAAUGAGCACUUAAAAUAUAUAUCAGACUGAACAGGAGAGUGAUGCUUUCUGACUACAGGAGAAAUUCUGUGGGCCAAAGGAGGGUGUCUGAUCCCUAGUGGUGCUCAUUUUGGACUUUAGCACUCUUACUUGAAUUCCCACCUGUGUGUUCUUAGGUCAUGUAUAGUAUGAUACGUAUCAGACUUUAAUCUAAACUACAUAGCAGGAGAUCCAUCUGUUCACUUCUAGAGAUGUAAGAAAAAAGUUUGGGAACUGCAGCUUCUUUGUGUUUUUCUAGUGUUGCAGACAGCCAUCAUAAAACAUGAAUAAAACACAGUGUGACAUUUGUACGAUAUCA
Molecule: long non-coding RNA, 1317 nt
Filed under: Coturnix japonica (Japanese quail)
Lineage: Eukaryota; Metazoa; Chordata; Aves; Galliformes; Phasianidae
Description: lncRNA (ENSCJPG00005006082.1)
Source: RNAcentral